Molecule: ribosomal RNA, 109 nt
Filed under: uncultured bacterium
Lineage: Bacteria
Description: partial 16S ribosomal RNA
Rfam family: Bacterial small subunit ribosomal RNA
Source: RNAcentral
UGAGGAAUAUUGGACAAUGGGCGGGAGCCUGAUCCAGCCAUGCCGCGUGCAGGAUGACGGCCCUAUGGGUUGUAAACUGCUUUUANACGGGAAGAAACGCACCUACGUG